This 74-nucleotide transfer RNA is filed under the name bacterium. Its description in RNAcentral is "tRNA-Arg". It matches the Rfam family "tRNA". From Rfam's summary of the family: Transfer RNA (tRNA) molecules are approximately 80 nucleotides in length. Their secondary structure includes four short double-helical elements and three loops (D, anti-codon, and T loops). Further hydrogen bonds mediate the characteristic L-shaped molecular structure. tRNAs have two regions of fundamental functional importance: the anti-codon, which is responsible for specific mRNA codon recognition, and the 3' end, to which the tRNAs corresponding amino acid is attached (by aminoacyl-tRNA synthetases). tRNAs cope with the degeneracy of the genetic code in two manners: having more than one tRNA (with a specific anti-codon) for a particular amino acid; and 'wobble' base-pairing, i.e. permitting non-standard base-pairing at the 3rd anti-codon position. The record is from RNAcentral. RNAcentral also lists the same sequence under 5 other names.
GCGCUUGUAGCCCAGUUGGAUAGAGCGUUUGGCUACGAACCAAAAGGUCGGGGGUUCGAAUCCCUCCAAGCGCG